CACCCCACUCUGAUUAUUCCACCAUUGCCAGAAAAGUUUAUAGUAAAGGGAAUGGUAGAACGCUUUAAUGAUGACUUCCUUGAGACACGCAGGAAAGGCAUUACAAAAAUUUUUGAACCGAAUUGCUGAUCAUCCAACUUUAACAUUUAAUGAAGACUUCAAAGUUUUUCUCACUGCGCAAGCUUGGGAACUCUGGUCUCACAAGAAGCAAGGGCCUGUGUUGCUAAGCAGGAUGGGGCAAACUGUUAGAGCUGUUGCAUCCUCAAUGAGAGGAGUUAAAAACCGCCCAGAGGAGUUCAUGAAAAUGAAUAACUUUAUUGAAAUAUUUAGCCAGAAAAUAAAUUUGAUAGAUAAAAUAUCUCAGAGAAUUUACAAGGAAGAAAGAGAAUAUCUUGAUGAAAUGAAAGAAUAUGGCCCAAUUUAUAUUCUGUGGUCAGCAUCAGAAGAUCUGGUUGAUACUCUGAGAAAUGUUGCCAGCUGUAUUGACAGAUGCUGUAAAGCCACUGAAAAAUGGAUGUCUGGACUCUCAGAGGCCCUGCUUCCUGUAGUACACGAGUACGUGCUUUAUAGUGAAAUGUUAAUGAGUGUUAUGAAAAGAAGAGACCAAAUACAAGCAGAACUGGAUUCCAAAGUUGAAGCUUUGACCUAUAAAAAGGCAGAUACUGAUCUACUUACAGAAGAGACUGGAAAACUUGAAGACAAAGUGGAAUGUGCUAAUAAUGCCCUGAAAGCAGAUUGGGAAAGAUGGAAACAAAAUAUGCAAAAUGAUAUCAACUCAGCAUUUACAGAUAUGGCUGAGGAGAAUAUCCACUAUUAUGAACAGUGCCUUGCUACGUGGGAAUCAUUCCUUACAUCACAGACUGACCUCCAAUUGGAAGAAGCCUCUGAUGAUAAAGCUUAAUCCUGUCAAGGACUUCUGUUUGAUCUUUGGGGAACAGCAUCUAUCAACCAAAGUUAUUCUUUCAGGAUCUGCUGUGUCCUUUGUAAAGUGGAUGAGAAGUGUUUUUUACUAUCUGGAAAACCAACAACUUGAAAACUCAGGUAUUCCAGGUCAUUGAUAUGAAUUUGGAAAUAUAUAUCUAUCAAAUAGAUUGAUAUAUAUCUAUAUAUCAAUACACAGAUAUAUAGAGAAAUUUAGCUUAGUUAUAAUUAUGCUGUCAAAUUUGUGUGCCAAUAAUUGCAUAUAGAAUUUUUUUUAAAUAUAUGACUGUGGAACAUGACAGUGUUGUAAAGACUCAGUUUU
This is a non-coding RNA of Microcebus murinus (gray mouse lemur), 1243 nucleotides long. The record is from RefSeq and is a predicted model, not a curated record. Lineage: Eukaryota; Metazoa; Chordata; Mammalia; Primates; Cheirogaleidae.